This is a long non-coding RNA of Camarhynchus parvulus, 1081 nucleotides long. RefSeq lists it as uncharacterized. The transcript has 5 exons. NCBI's taxonomy places the organism in Eukaryota, Metazoa, Chordata, Aves, Passeriformes, Thraupidae. The record is from RefSeq and is a predicted model, not a curated record.
CGGCCGCUGCCCCCGGCCCAGCCGCGGGGCAGCCGCGCUCCCGCCGGGUGUCCCGGGCGGAGAUGGGCUGGGUUAGACGGGGCAGGGCAAACGCCGACCCCGCCGUCCCGAGGGCUUCCCCCGUCCCGCCGGGGCAGGCGCCUCACCUGGUGCUCCUCCAGCUCCUCCACCAGUACCUGGGGACAGAGGGACACACAGACACACACACAAAGGACGUGAGUCCGGCGACCGCAGCGCAGCGGCUCCGCCGCCCCGUCCCGUCCAGUCCCGUCCCGUCCCGUCGCCGCCCGCCCGGCCCGGCCGGAGCGCCGGCUCCGCGCUCACCUGGGCUGAUUUCUUGCAGGGUCCGGACUGCAGGAACCGUGCGAUCAGAAAUGCAAAAUCCAGCUGUGGAUGGAACAUCCAGGAAAAGGGGUGGCUCUGUGUCCCUGUGUGCUCUGGGCUCUGCCAGCAGAAGGACCAGGGGAAUGACAUCAGUACCAGAUCCAUCCCCAGCAUCUCUGAAUUCCAACUUUGUACCUCAAAGUGCCUGAAACCCCCAAGUUUUAUAGCAGCAAAUUUACUACUGGGUAUAAGUGACCAGGUUUUUAGGGCCAAAUCCUGCGUUUUUGGCUUCUCCCAGAAGCCUGGGCACAAAGCAUCUGACUGCAGCUGGGAAUUCAUCACCUCUCUCCCUGGACAUGCAAAUUUUACUGGAACUCCUUCAGCUAAGAAACCAGAAAAAGUGGAUUAAAAAGAAUGAGGUUAUGAAGCAUGAAAAAAUAUUCCAAAACAACUAUGGAGGAGGGAAGAGGAGUUUCUGCUCUGACCCUGGAGAUGAAAGAAUAAAGGACCCUUGGCUGGAUGGUGACACUCAACCCAUGAAGAGACACCACUGUCAGUGACAGAACACAAGGGCAAAGAGAGCCCUGAGCAAACACUGCUUCACUAUCAGCAAGGACUCUGCUGGGACAAUCCCUCAGCAGCUGAUGGAGCCUGCAGCUGGACCCAGCAAAAGGCAGCUGAGGUAAGGAGCUGUGAGAAGAGGCUGCAGAUAAGAGGCAAGACCGAGUCUACUUUGCAAAUCUCUUGUUGAAUUGUU